RNAcentral lists this transfer RNA (28 nucleotides) under Planiliza haematocheilus (so-iny mullet). Its description in RNAcentral is "partial tRNA-Pro". The record is from RNAcentral. Lineage: Eukaryota; Metazoa; Chordata; Actinopteri; Mugiliformes; Mugilidae.
UAUAAUUUUAUUAUUAAACUACUCUUUG